Molecule: RNase P RNA, 418 nt
Filed under: Tabrizicola sp.
Lineage: Bacteria; Pseudomonadati; Pseudomonadota; Alphaproteobacteria; Rhodobacterales; Paracoccaceae
Description: RNase P RNA component class A
Rfam family: Bacterial RNase P class A
About the family: Ribonuclease P (RNase P) is a ubiquitous endoribonuclease, found in archaea, bacteria and eukarya as well as chloroplasts and mitochondria. Its best characterised activity is the generation of mature 5'-ends of tRNAs by cleaving the 5'-leader elements of precursor-tRNAs. Cellular RNase Ps are ribonucleoproteins.
Source: RNAcentral
GCGGAGGGCUGGAUGGCCGCGGUCCCGGAAGGGGUCGAGGAAAGUCCGGACUCCCGUUGGCAAGGGUGCCGGGUAACGCCCGGCGGGGGCAACCCCAGGGAAAGCGCCACAGAGAAGAGACUGCCCCUGCCGCGAACGAAGGUUCGCCUUCGCGAACGGGAGGGGUAACGGUGAAACGGUGGGGCAAGAGCCCACCGCGGGACUGGCAACAGGACCGGCACGGCAAGCCCCACCCGGAGCAAUGCCAAAUAGGGGCCUCGCGCGGGGCUGGUCGGGAGACCGAUACCGCCGCAGGGACGCCAACGCCCGAGAGGCCCGGGUUGGCAGCUUGACCGCCGUGGCGACACGGUCGGCAGAGGAAUGGUCAUCCAUGGCCGCAAGGCCAGGACAGAAUCCGGCUUACAGGCUCUCCGCGCAA